RNAcentral lists this ribosomal RNA (1285 nucleotides) under human gut metagenome. Its description in RNAcentral is "bacterial SSU rRNA". It matches the Rfam family "Bacterial small subunit ribosomal RNA", at positions 94 to 1399 of the family's 1533-position model. The record is from RNAcentral.
AGUGGCGGACGGGUGAGUAACGCGUGGGUAACCUGCCUUGUACAGGGGGAUAACAGUUAGAAAUGACUGCUAAUACCGCAUAAGCGCACAGUACCGCAUGGUACAGUGUGAAAAACUCCGGUGGUACAAGAUGGACCCGCGUCUGAUUAGCUAGUUGGUAAGGUAACGGCUUACCAAGGCGACGAUCAGUAGCCGACUUGAGAGAGUGAUCGGCCACAUUGGGACUGAGACACGGCCCAAACUCCUACGGGAGGCUGCAGUGGGGAAUCUUCCGCAAUGGACGAAAGUCUGACGGAGCAACGCCGCGUGAGGGAUGGAGGCCUUCGGGUUGUAAAGCUCUGUCUUUGGGGACGAUGUUGAGUGUACCUUUCGAAUAAGCACCGGCUAACUACGUGCCAGCAGCCGCGGUAAUACGUAGGGUGCAAGCGUUAUCCGGAAUUAUUGGGCGUAAAGGGAGCGUAGGCGGAUUUUUAAGUGGGAUGUGAAAUACCCGGGCUCAACCUGGGUGCUGCAUUCCAAACUGGAAAUCUAGAGUGCAGGAGAGGAAAGUGGAAUUCCUAGUGUAGCGGUGAAAUGCGUAGAUAUUAGGAAGAACACCAGUGGCGAAGGCGACUUUCUGGACUGUAACUGACGCUGAGGCUCGAAAGCGUGGGGAGCGAACAGGAUUAGAUACCCUGGUAGUCCACGCCGUAAACGAUGGGUACUAGGUGUAGGAGGUAUCGACCCCUUCUGUGCCGGAGUUAACGCAAUAAGUACCCCGCCUGGGGAGUACGACCGCAAGGUUGAAACUCAAAGGAAUUGACGGGGGCCCGCACAAGCGGUGGAGCAUGUGGUUUAAUUCGAAGCAACGCGAAGAACCUUACCUAGACUUGACAUCUCCUGCAUUACCCUUAAUCGGGGAAGUUCCUUCGGGGACAGGAAGACAGGUGGUGCAUGGUUGUCGUCAGCUCGUGCCGUGAGAUGUUGGGUUAAGUCCCGCAACGAGCGCAACCCUUAUUGUUAGUUGGUACCAUUAAGUUGACCACUCUAGCGAGACUGCCCGGGUUAACCGGGAGGAAGGUGGGGAUGACGUCAAAUCAUCAUGCCCCUUAUGUCUAGGGCUACACACGUGCUACAAUGGCAAGUACAAAGAGAAGCAAUACUGUGAAGUGGAGCAAAACUCAAAAACUUGUCUCAGUUCGGAUUGUAGGCUGAAACUCGCCUACAUGAAGCUGGAGUUGCUAGUAAUCGCGAAUCAGAAUGUCGCGGUGAAUACGUUCCCGGGUCUUGCACUCACCGCCCGUCA